GAUGACGAAGGGCAAGCAAUAGCUGAGCUUACUAGCCAUAUGGUUAAACUAGCGCAUGUGCCUACUCAGGUAUGGAAAGGGUACAAUCCAAGUAGUUGGUUUGGUAGCUGGUAUGAGUGGUUUGGAGGGCUUAAGGCAGUGGUAGGUGGAGUCCUACUGAUUUUAAUGUUGUGUCUACUCCUGCCGUGUCUUAUACCCUUAGUAGUUAGGUCUGUGCAAAGCCUGAUAGAAAAUAUAGCAGAAAGGAAGGCUGCUGCACAGAUAAUGGCAAUUUAUAAAUAUAAGGCUCUAGAUCAGGGAGAACCAAUGCAGGAAGACGAGUGUUGAAGAUUCACAUCAUAGGAUAAGUCUGGUCUGGUUCAAAGGUAACUUGUGGUGUAUGCAAACCAAGGUUAAGUGAUGCCUCAAGUAAUUGUAAAAUAUCAAGAGGCAUCAAAGGGGGGAAUGUGGUGGAAUCUCGGUAAAAAUAAAUUUAGUAGGCCGAGAUUACCACGUGGCAUGUGUACGUGCAUAUGCUGACGUAUCGAUCAGUUGGUUGCACGAGGCAAG
Pelobates cultripes (western spadefoot toad) is the source of this 549-nucleotide non-coding RNA. Lineage: Eukaryota; Metazoa; Chordata; Amphibia; Anura; Pelobatidae. The record is from the annotation of a GenBank genome assembly.